RNAcentral lists this ribosomal RNA (253 nucleotides) under uncultured bacterium. RNAcentral describes it as "partial 16S ribosomal RNA". It matches the Rfam family "Bacterial small subunit ribosomal RNA", at positions 524 to 776 of the family's 1533-position model. The record is from RNAcentral.
UACGUAGGUGGCGAGCGUUGUCCGGAAUUACUGGGUGUAAAGCGCGUGUAGGCGGGAGGCCAAGUCUGUGGUGAAAUCGCUCGGCUUAACUGGGCGGGGUCCAUGGAAACUGGUCACCUGGAGGUCGGUAGAGGCAAGUGGAAUUCCCGGUGUAGUGGUGAAAUGCGUAGAUAUCGGGAGGAACACCUGUGGCGAAAGCGGCUCACUGGACCAUUACUGACGCUGAUGCACGAAAGCUAGGGGAGCAAACAGG